GUGAAACCGAAUUGAUUUUUGUUCAAUAAUUUACAAAAAUGAAUUUGUAGCUGCUGAAGCAAAAGUCAAAAGAAAGAACUUGAUAUCACUCUUCAUAAAUCAUUAAAAGUCGAUACCCAUCAUCGUAUUUGUUUUGGAUGUAAUGUAAAGUAUAAUCUGUAUAUGCUUAUAUGGUACUUCCGUGAUAACGUGUAAAUAGUUUUAGUUUGUAGUUCACGUAUUGUAUGCCGUACACAUUACACAAAAUACAAUUUUGCUAAUCAUUGUUCACUAGGCCUUAAAAAAAUUUAACAAAAAAACAACCGACUCCAAAAAUAACAAUCUUUACUAGAAUUAGAUUGUAUAAAAAUACGUAAUUAUUUUUAUUCUUUUUAGUGCAUAUUAUAUCUAUUGUUUUGGAAUAGUGUUUUCGAAGUCGAUUGCUUUUUGUUAAAUUUCGGCCUAGUAUCGUUAAUUUGCUCCUAAGAAUUGAAGACUUCCGUUACUUUGUUAUGGAUCCCAUAAGCAGAACCUAACCAAACUGUCACCAAACUACGAAGUAAAUCGGCUGGCGCGAUCAAUCCUGUGCGUCAGGAUAUUGCGCUGUCGAUGCGACUGGUGAGUUAUGAGAUGAAGCAGUCUACGGAUGGAGCGAAGGGAGGAAAGAAGGAGGGUGCCGUUAUGAUCACCGGCACUGUCGACAGAGCGGGGUCGCAGCGUGCGUGGUGGAGGUGCUGGGUGCAAGAAGGACAUGAAACAUGGCGGUCACACACGGAUAUGCAAUAGAUGGUUUUGCUGGAUGGCAGUGGUAUGACCAUUUCAUUUAAAACCUUAUGUGAUUUCAGAACACAGCGCGAGAUAACCUGAUUCAAAUGUGGGUCGUAUUCAUGCCAACUUUUAUAGAAGACCAUUGCGAGUAUUACCAGCAACUUAGUGCACCAUUCAAGUGCACAUAAUAC
Long non-coding RNA from Leptidea sinapis, 938 nucleotides. RefSeq lists it as uncharacterized. The record is from RefSeq and is a predicted model, not a curated record. The transcript has 4 exons. Lineage: Eukaryota; Metazoa; Arthropoda; Insecta; Lepidoptera; Pieridae.